GAACGCUGGCGGCUGCCUAAUACAUGCAAGUAGAACGCUGAAGAGAGGAGCUUGCUCUUCUUGGAUGAGUUGCGAACGGGUGAGUAACGCGUAGGUAACCUGCCUUGUAGCGGGGGAUAACUAUUGGAAACGAUAGCUAAUACCGCAUAACAAUGGGUGACACAUGUCAUUUAUUUGAAAGGGGCAAUUGCUCCACUACAAGAUGGACCUGCGUUGUAUUAGCUAGUAGGUGAGGUAACGGCUCACCUAGGCGACGAUACAUAGCCGACCUGAGAGGGUGAUCGGCCACACUGGGACUGAGACACGGCCCAGACUCCUACGGGAGGCAGCAGUAGGGAAUCUUCGGCAAUGGGGGCAACCCUGACCGAGCAACGCCGCGUGAGUGAAGAAGGUUUUCGGAUCGUAAAGCUCUGUUGUAAGUCAAGAACGAGUGUGAGAGUGGAAAGUUCACACUGUGACGGUAGCUUACCAGAAAGGGACGGCUAACUACGUGCCAGCAGCCGCGGUAAUACGUAGGUCCCGAGCGUUGUCCGGAUUUAUUGGGUGUAAAGCGAGCGCAGGCGGUUUGAUAAGUCUGAAGUUAAAGGCUGUGGCUCAACCAUAGUUCGCUUCGGAAACUGUCAAACUUGAGUGCAGAAGGGGAGAGUGGAAUUCCAUGUGUAGCGGUGAAAUGCGUAGAUAUAUGGAGGAACACCGGUGGCGAAAGCGGCUCUCUGGUCUGUAACUGACGCUGAGGCUCGAAAGCGUGGGGAGCGAACAGGAUUAGAUACCCUGGUAGUCCACGCCGUAAACGAUGAGUGCUAGGUGUUGGAUCCUUUCNCGGGAUUCAGUGCCGCAGCUAACGCAUUAAGCACUCCGCCUG
Molecule: ribosomal RNA, 862 nt
Filed under: uncultured Streptococcus sp.
Lineage: Bacteria; Bacillati; Bacillota; Bacilli; Lactobacillales; Streptococcaceae
Description: bacterial SSU rRNA
Rfam family: Bacterial small subunit ribosomal RNA
Source: RNAcentral